AGUGAACGCUGGCGGUAGGCCUAACACAUGCAAGUCGAACGGCAGCACAGUAAGAGCUUGCUCUUACGGGUGGCGAGUGGCGGACGAGUGAGGAGUACAUCGGAAUCUACUUUUUCGUGGGGGAUAACGUAGGGAAACUUACGCUAAUACCGCAUACGACCUACGGGUGAAAGCAGGGGAUCUUCGGACCUUGCGCGAUUGAAUGAGCCGAUGUCGGAUUAGCUAGUUGGCGGGGUAAAGGCCCACCAAGGCGACGAUCCGUAGCUGGUCUGAGAGGAUGAUCAGCCACACUGGAACUGAGACACGGUCCAGACUCCUACGGGAGGCAGCAGUGGGGAAUAUUGGACAAUGGGCGCAAGCCUGAUCCAGCCAUACCGCGUGGGUGAAGAAGGCCUUCGGGUUGUAAAGCCCUUUUGUUGGGAAAGAAAAGCAGCAGGUUAAUACCCCGCUGUUCUGACGGUACCCAAAGAAUAAGCACCGGCUAACUUCGU
This 491-nucleotide ribosomal RNA is filed under the name uncultured bacterium. RNAcentral's name for it is "partial 16S ribosomal RNA". It matches the Rfam family "Bacterial small subunit ribosomal RNA", at positions 29 to 506 of the family's 1533-position model. The record is from RNAcentral.